AUUCCAGCUCCAAUAGCGUAUAUUAAAGUUGUUGCAGUUAAAAAGCUCGUAGUCGGAUUUUGGCAUCACGCCGAACUGUCUGCCGAUUGGUAAGUACGGUUUGGCGGGUGCUUCCUUCCGGAGGCUCGUUCCCUUCUUCAUUGAAGGGUUCGUUGGUUCCGGGUCUUUUACUUUGAGAAAAUUAGAGUGUUCAAAGCAGGCCUAUGCUCUGAAUAGGUUAGCAUGGAAUAAUAGAAUAGGACUUUGGUUCUAUUUUGUUGGUUUGCACGCCAAAGUAAUGAUUAGUAGGAGCAGUUGGGGGUAUUCGUAUUCAAUUGUAAGAGGUGAAAUUCUUGGAUUUAUAGAAGACGAACUACUGCGAAAGCAUUUACCAAGGAUGUUUUCAUU
This 387-nucleotide ribosomal RNA is filed under the name Picozoa sp. Its description in RNAcentral is "partial small subunit ribosomal RNA". It matches the Rfam family "Eukaryotic small subunit ribosomal RNA", at positions 582 to 974 of the family's 1831-position model. The record is from RNAcentral. Lineage: Eukaryota; Picozoa.